RNAcentral lists this long non-coding RNA (664 nucleotides) under Homo sapiens (human). RNAcentral's name for it is "HSALNT0128773". The record is from RNAcentral. Lineage: Eukaryota; Metazoa; Chordata; Mammalia; Primates; Hominidae.
UGUUGCCCAGGCUGGAGCGCAAUGGCGCGAUCUCGGCUCACUGCAACCUCUGCCUCCUGGCAAUUCUCCUGCCUCAGCCUCCCGAGUAGCCGAGACUACAGGCAUGUGCCACCACGCCUGGCUAAUUUUUUUGUAUUUUUAGUAGAGACAGGGUUUCACCAUGUUGACCAGCCUGGCCAACUUAAUGAAACCCCAUCUCUGCUAACAAUACAGACCAGGCAUGGUGGCUCACACCUGUAAUCCCAGCACUUUGAGAGACCGAGGCAGGUGGAUCACCUGAGGUCGGGAGUUCGAGACCAGCCUGACCAACAUGGAGAAACCCCGUCUCUACUAAAAAUACAAAAUAGCCAGGUGUGAUGGCGCAUGCCUGUAACCCCAUCUACUUGGAAGGCUGAGGCAGGAGAAUCACUUGAAUCUGGGAGGCAGAGGUUGCAGUGAGCCGAGAUGGCGCCAUUGCACUCCAGCCUGGGCAACAAGAGUGAAACUCCGUCUCAAAAAAAAAAAAAAAAAAAAAUUAGCUGGGCAUGGUGGUGGGCGCCUGUAAUCCCAGCUAUCUGGGAGGCUGAGUCUAGAGAAUCAUUUGAACCUGGGAGGCGGAGGUUGCAGUGAGCCGAGAUCGCACCAUUGCACUCCAGCCUGGGCAACAGUGAGACUCCGUCUCAAA